UUCAUGUGCGGGUUGUAAAAGCAAACCCUGGAAUGAAUCCUGAGCUGUCAUGCACUGAUGCCAAUGGGAAAGCAGGAGAGUUUGGUGCCCUAAAAGAAGGCUAUAUGUUCGAGUGUUAAACCGGUCUCUCAAGGAUCUCACCCACAUGUCCAGUACUUGAUACAUUAGGGAAAAAACUUCUUUCGAGAUAGUAGUUGGCUUCAAUGGGCGUGUUUGGG
Molecule: non-coding RNA, 218 nt
Organism: Cicer arietinum (chickpea)
Lineage: Eukaryota; Viridiplantae; Streptophyta; Magnoliopsida; Fabales; Fabaceae
Source: RefSeq, a predicted model, not a curated record